RNAcentral lists this ribosomal RNA (254 nucleotides) under uncultured bacterium. RNAcentral describes it as "partial 16S ribosomal RNA". It matches the Rfam family "Bacterial small subunit ribosomal RNA", at positions 524 to 776 of the family's 1533-position model. The record is from RNAcentral.
UACGAAGGGGGCUAGCGUUGCUCGGAAUUACUGGGCGUAAAGCGCACGUAGGCGGAUCUUUAAGUCAGGGGUGAAAUCCUGGAGCUCAACUCCAGAACUGCCUUUGAUACUGAGGACCUUGAGUUCGGGGAGAGGUGAGUGGAACUGCGAGUGUAGAGGUGAAAUUCGUAGAUAUUCGCAAGAACACCAGUGGCGAAGGCGGCUCACUGGCCCGAUACUGACGCUGAGGCACGAAAGCGUGGGGAGCAAACAGG